GGACCGUGGUUGCGUUCAGAUUUGCUCACCCCAGGAUACACGCAUGCGAACGCCCAGUUCAAAGCCCUGGUCCCCUUUUGCCAGGUAUAGGAUUUUUUUUUUUUUUAAGACUGAAAUUUAAACUCCGAGCCUGCUUUCCUCCACUCUCCAAAUCCAAUUCCGCUUCCUCCCGGUUUCACUGUCCUUGACCCCCAAGUUUGGAGCACCAGCCCGUAGGCAGUGUCCGGCACAAGGCGAAGAGAUAGGUGCUUUAAGAAAUAAGCAGCAAUUGGGAAGAAUAGAGGCGAGGUCAGGACUAGAAACUCGAGCAAAGGGAGGAAGCCCGAGCUCCGGGACCUCUCAGGUCGGUCGCUGUGCACUGAAAGUGUUGGUGCCUCUGUCUGAGCAGGCUAGGACUGUUUUGCCCUCGGGAUUACUUUUGGACUCUCUGGAGUCUCAAGUUUGUUCCACCUUAUUUUAAGGGCAGGGGACACCGAAGCCACUCUCAAAGUCCCGGGUUCCAAGAAUCGACCGCCACUGCUUUUUAAAAGAACCAUUGGGCAGAAAUGCUCCCCGCCCGCAGGCCGCGGCAACUCCUCACAUGGCCACGAGAUGGCGCUCCAGGCCAGGGGCCGGGCCGUGACUCCACAGCCCGCCCCUCCGGCUAGAUCCUCCGGUGGACUGAGAGCCGCGGUGGGAUCGAAGGGGAACAGAGCCACCGACAGGCGUUCAUCCAGGCCCAGAGACCCGCAGAGGCAGCCGAGGGACCGAGGGGCGCCGGACUGGGCCUGCGGACACAGGGGCCGGGGGACGCGAAGCUCUGGUUGAGGCCUUCUCCUUGAGACGGUCCUGCAGUGCCAGCUCCCGAACCUUCAAGGCACGUCUGCAGACGACGACCCUUCGCUUCCUCUGUGCGUGCUCGGGCUAGGGCUCUUUCCAUCCCUCGCAUGGCAGGGAGGCGACCUGAUUUCUGCCUUCCUAACUUCUCAGAAGCGGGACUGUGGGCUGGGAUCUGUGGGCGCUGGACAUCAGCUCUGGACUGCGGGAGGCGACCCACUCGGACUUGGAGGGUGAUUGUAAGGUUGAAGCCGCUCGGUGUAAGACUGGAGGGCCGGGAUCCUUGCUCCUCGGCAGCAAGGUCUGCCUCAGCUCCUACCUCUGUCUCCUCACCAGUCCCAGUGGGGUCUUCCAGGUUGAAUGUCGGGAUGUGCAGGGCACAGACAGACUCCAGAUAUGCAGGAUAGCCCCUCUGAAGGUGCACACCUAGGGUCCAGUCUGUGCCUGUCUCCCCUUCCCCCACCACCGGGUACCAGAGACCCAAGGGAAGGAUUGGGUCUGGAUUAUUCCCGCGGGAGGUGGUGGGGAAUGAGAAGUUCCUGAGGGUCAGUAUGAGAAUCUUCCUGAGUCCUGAGUCGGUUUGAAAGGAGGAAGGAUGGGUGUGGAGAUGUGAGGCUUGGUGGCCUGGAAAUACCAGAGUUAGAGUGGGUGGCCAGGUUUGGAAGCCUGAUCCCAUCCUACCUUUAUGUCCCCAGAUGAGCUCUGCCACCCUGGGAGAUUAACCCUACAUGCAUUUUCCAAAGGCACAUGACUAGAAAGCAACCCAGUUAACACCAGUCUAGAGACACUUCCACUUCCACAUAAACACCAGCUUGUGUUUGUCCUGUACUAGGCUCUCCGCAUUUCCCUCUUCAAGGUAUAACAGAGGAUAGGAGCGAAUCUUUGGUGAUUUAAUAAUUAUCUACAUGUCCAUCUGCUGAAACAGCUGCUUGGUAGGAAAGCCAGACAGGAGAUAAGUACAAGGUCAAACUUUGCCCGUGUGAGACCUUGGAUAAUGUAACAUUCUUCUCUGGGUUCCAAAAUCCACACCUGUAAAAUAAGUGGUCUGGACUAAAAUCAGAUUGAUCAGUGGAUGACCAGAUGACCUUGGUCCAGCUUGCAGUGAGCCCUAGCCUCAACUGCUUCAGACAAGAGGCAAGGACUAUGCUCCCAUUUACUUACUGCUUGAGGAAAUAGAGUAGGAGGAAUAGGCGGGCCAUUGCAGACCUUGGGGACCUUGGCUGUUGCUUGGGGGUAGGGGAAGGGCUGGUGGCCUGGAUGAAUUCCCAAUUAGGAAACAGCAUUCCAGGUCCUGAAACCCUCAAGGAACCAGCUGGCUCCAGCUGCCUCCAAUUCCUCUGGGAUGUCAUUGUCAUUCCCCUCUGCCUUCCACCUCAAAGCUAGUUUGGAAAGGCACCCACGGUGAGUUUUGAGUCUAGCACCACAGUUUGUUGAUUGUGUGUGACUUCUCCCAAAAGAGAAAGAGUUUCAGGCGCUCCUGUUUAAGGGUAUCUCCCAGAUCUGGAAUACUCUGGGCUAAGUCCUUAUUGAGUGAAAAGCUUUGCCAUGUUCAAAGCAUUGUCCCACGUGGGGUCUCAUUGAACCUUUACUGGCAAGGUGGAGAUUUUCAAUCCCCAUUUCACAGACAAUGAAUUGAGGUCAGAGAAAUGAAGUGAGGUGCCCAAGGCCAUCCAGCAAAGGACAGAGCUCUUACACAAUACCAUGGGCCUGACCCUUGGCAACAUGCGCUAAUGAAGUGAUGACGGCUGAGAGGCAGCUUGUUGAUGGGAAAAAGCUAAGGGCCUGGGCAAGUGCCCUCUGUGGCCGGAUGCUGAGCCCUGAUGUCCUGGCUAGAAGUUGCAUCUGUAGGAGAACCAGAGCCAAGUCCAGGAGACUUGGCAAAGAGCAGCCUUGAGGCUUCCUGUCAGCCUAGCUGGACCUUCCAGGAAUGCCUUGGUAGGAGCAGAGGCUUCUCAUGUGUGAAACAAUGGUGGGGACGUAGAGAGGGCUACCCAAAAUGCUGUGGACUAUAUUCCUGCCCAUUAUUUCUUUCUCAAAGAGAACAGGAUGUCCCCUGGCCCUGUAGUGUCUGUCCUCGGCCUGACAAGAGGAGCUAUGCACCCAACUACAUGAAGACGUUUGGUGGUGGAGGUUUUCCCUGGAGAAAUCAGAGCAGUUACCAGCUCCCCUGGUCUCUGAGGCUUUCCCCUUCCCCUAGUUUGCUGGGGCUAAUCUUUUCCCAUCCAACCCCAAUGUGCUGCUGUGUCUCCUCUUGGGAGAGAAUAUAUUUAUUUAAUGUCUGUCUCCUACAGGAACAUGGUUCCUUUAGUGGGGUGGGAGGUGAUGGUGUCUAUUUUGUGCAUUGCUGUGACCCAGAUUUAAAAAUGUUUAACACAUAGCAGGGAAAGAAUGAAUGAAUUGCACCCUCCAGAUGCAGGGCCUACACUUGGUCCUUCCAGGAUAUCCCUGCCUGGGCCCUGGAACAGAAGCCCCUGCUCCAAGUUCAUUCAGAGACCAUUGUGGAGAGCUCCUGAGGGUCUCGGCUGUGUGUAUCUUUGCCAAUACUGACCAGCCACUUCUAGUCCUCCAGCCAUGCUUCCAAGGAGGUGUGGCACCCUCUGGGCUAGGAAGCACCAACUUUGUCCCCUUCCAGGGCCGGUGGGUGGGUGGAGACAAUCUGGGAUCUUUGGGGAAACUUCUAGCAUAUCUGCCCCCUCCCCCGCCCCAUCUUCCCUGAGCAGCAGAGGACCUUCUUGAAAUGCACCUGGGGUGCAGGGGCUCUCCUGUUUAAAGCCCUCCAUAGGCUUCUCAUGCUUUGGGGAAAGGUGAAGGGUGGAGCCAGCCUGUGGAGCCAGCCUGUGGAGCCAGCCUGUGGAGCCAGCCCGUGCCUACUUGGCCCCCACCCCAGGCCUCCAACCCCAGUGUCCUGAUCUAGGUUAAUCUUGAUGUCCUUGCCUCACAGGCUUUCCUUUCCCUCACCUGAGAUGCCCUUCCUGCUUUCCUUUAAAACUGGGCUGGCCUAUUGGCUCCUCUAGGUCUUCUCCCUUCUGAGUUAGAUGUCCAUGCACAUGUUGUUCUGUUUUUGCAGUACAUAGGCCACUGGGGCAUUACUUUCUUGGGCUGCCAAAUCCCUGGACCCUAGGAAUCUGGCCUAGACUUGGAAAUGAGCACAGCAUCCUGAGUCAGGGCCUUGUGCAUGCUAGGCCAGCACUGAGCUACAUCUCCAGCUCUGUUUAUUUUUUUCUUUUGAGACAGGAUCUCGCUAAGUUGCCCAGGUUGACCUAGAACUUGCAAUUCUCCUGCCUCAGCCUCCCCAGCACCUGGAACUAUACGCAUGUGCCACUAUUCCCUAUAUCCAUAUUGUUUUAUGGUAGUCAAUGACUGUGAGACCUUGGCAAGUCACUUUAUCCCUCACCUAUCACUUCUUCAAAAUGGAGAUAACAGGGUUGGGCUUGUGGCUCAAUGGUAGAUCGCUUGCCUGGCAUGUGUGAGGCACUGGGUUUGAUUCUCAGCAACACAUAUAAAUAAAUAAAUGUCCAUGAACAGCUAAAAAAAUGUUUUUUAAAAAUGGAGAUAACAGCACCUAGCUCAGGGGGUUGGUUGAAGAUUAAAUGUCACGCUGUUUAUAACUAUCUGGCACAGAGACCAGCACAGUGAAUGUGGUUUUCUGCCUCUCCUGAGGAGGCCUUGCCCCUUUGGAGGAGCCUAAGGGAGUCUGAGGAUGCAGGCCUUGGGGGAAAAUCUAGGAUGAGGAAAAUUCCCCUGGCCCAGGGAAGUACCAGGGUUGAUCCUGUCACAUGGAGGUGACCAGCCUACACUGGAGGCCAGGCAGAGGCCACUGGGGCAUUACUUUCUUG
This 4652-nucleotide long non-coding RNA is filed under the name Marmota monax (woodchuck). The record is from RNAcentral. Lineage: Eukaryota; Metazoa; Chordata; Mammalia; Rodentia; Sciuridae.